GGGUUGUCAUGCCAAUGGCACUGCCCGGUAGCUAAAUGCGGAAGAGAUAAGUGCUGAAAGCAUCUAAGCACGAAACUUGCCCCGAGAUGAGUUCUCCCUGAGACUAUAAGUCUCCUGAAGGAACGUUGAAGACGACGACGUUGAUAGGCCGGGUGUGUAAGCGCAGCGAUGCGUUGGGCUCACCGGUACUAAUGAACCUUGAGUCUUAACCUUACAACGCUGAAGGA
Molecule: ribosomal RNA, 227 nt
Filed under: Klebsiella pneumoniae
Lineage: Bacteria; Pseudomonadati; Pseudomonadota; Gammaproteobacteria; Enterobacterales; Enterobacteriaceae
Description: partial 23S ribosomal RNA
Rfam family: Bacterial large subunit ribosomal RNA
Source: RNAcentral